RNAcentral lists this ribosomal RNA (302 nucleotides) under Parascutigera latericia. RNAcentral's name for it is "partial 12S ribosomal RNA". The record is from RNAcentral. Lineage: Eukaryota; Metazoa; Arthropoda; Chilopoda; Scutigeromorpha; Scutigeridae.
UGAGUAGUAGUAGAAGUUCUUGAACUUAAAGAAUUUGGCGGUACAUUAACCUAUUUAAAGGAACCUGUCCUGUAAUCGAUAUUCCCCGUAAAUUUAACCUAGAUUUGUAUUUCCAGCUUGUAUAUCGCUGUCGUAAGAUUAUUUUUUGAGAAAUUUUUCAAUAAUAAGUUUUUAUUUAUGUCAAGUCAAGGUGCAGUUAAUAUCUAGGGUUGAGAUGGGUUACAAUAUGUGGAUAUAGACGGAAAUAUUUUUGUAAUGUUUAUUGAAGGUGGAUUUAAUUGUAAUAUGAGAUUAACUAUUUU